UAUGGAGGUUCCCAGGCUAGGGGUCCAAUCGGAGCUGCAGCAGCCAGCCUACACCACAGCCACAGCCACACGGGAUCCAAGCCACAUCUGUGACCUACACCACAGCUCAUGGCAACGCCGGAUCCUCAACCCAUGGAGUGAGGCCUGGGAUUGAGCCCACAACCUCAUGGACACUAGUCGGGUUCUUAACCCACUGAGCCACAACAGGAACUCCUGAGGUUAAGAUUGAAGAGACCAGGGGAGACGUUCUGAUCCAUCCACGCGUCCGCCUGUUCAGCCGAACGGUUACACAUGCGUCUCUCAUCUAAUCCUCACUUCGCCCCGAGGGAGGCACUGUGAUUAUCCCCACUCAGCAGAGGAAGAAGCAGGCGGUUACGUAACCUGCCCAAAGUCCCACAGAUGCUACGGGACAGGGUUCAAAUCCAAGCUCAGGCAAUGGAGAGUUCUAGAGCCCACGGCUUAACGACCAUCCUCUAGAGAAAAAGCAGUGACGGAAGCCUCAGCCCCAACUCAUUAAUUCCUGCCCUGGAAAUCCAGCCGAGGGAAAUACACACUGGAGCCAAAGCUUCUGUACAGAGACAGUCACCCCACCGUAUUUCUUUCUUUCCUUCCUUCCUUCCUUUCUUUUUUUGCCUUUUAGGGCCACACCUGCAGCACACGGAAGUUCCCAGGCUGGGGGCUGAAUCGGAGUUACAGCUGCCGGCCUACACCACAGCUCACAGCAAUGCCCGAUCCUUAACCCACUGGGCAAGGCCAGGGAUCCAACCUGCAUCCUCAUGGAUCCUAGUCAGGUUUGUUAACUGCUGAGCCACGACGGGAACUCCCUCUUUUUUUAAUGUUUACAGUUGCAUGUGCGGCAUAUGGAGGUUCCCAGGCUAGGGGUCAAAUCGCAGCUGCAGCUUCUGGUCUACACCACAGCCACUGCCACAUGGAUCUGAGCCGCAUCUGUAACCUUGCUUUGCAGCCAUGCUGGUCCUUAACCGGGGGAUUGAACCUGCGUCCUCACAGACACCAUGUCAGGGUCUUAACCCACUGAGCCACAUGGGGACUCCUCCCCAGCUUUAUUUCUAAUGGAGGAAAUUGGCGGGGGUGGGGGUACAAAGCGUCUGUCACCUGGGACUUGGUUAAGUCCAUGAUUUUCCCUUCACAGGAUGGCUCACUAAGCAUCUUUGGGGGAAUGGAACCCCAGAGGAACGGGUUUCUGAGACGAGAUGCAAUGUUGCAGGGAAGCAUCCGGCUCAGGCACCUGCACAAAUGGUGUCAUUAAAGUUGCCCGGGCGAGACACAAUCUAGUCCGUCCUCGAGGCCACCCAGGA
RNAcentral lists this long non-coding RNA (1316 nucleotides) under Sus scrofa (pig). RNAcentral's name for it is "lncRNA (ENSSSCG00035017097.1)". Lineage: Eukaryota; Metazoa; Chordata; Mammalia; Artiodactyla; Suidae. The record is from RNAcentral.